GACGAACGCUGGCGGCGUGCUUAACACAUGCAAGUCGAACGGAAAGGCGCUGCUUUUGUGGGGUGCUCGAGUGGCGAACGGGUGAGUAACACGUGAGUAAACUGCCCUUGCCUUUGGGAUAACUUAAGGGAACUGGGGCUAAUACCGGAUAGGAGAUCCUGCUGCAUGGGGGGGGUUGGAAUGUUUCGGCGGUUGGGGAUGGAGUCGAGGCUUAUCAGCUUGUUGGUGGGGUAGUGGCUUACCAAGGCUUCGACGGGUAGGCGGCCUGAGUGGGUGAGCGGCACGAUUGGGACUGAGAUGCGGCCCAGCCUCGUACGGUAGUCAGCAGCGGGGGAUAUUGUGCUGUGGGCGGACGCCUGAUGCGGUGACGCCGCGUGCGUGAUGACGGCCUUUGGGUUGUAAACCGCUUUCGCCUGGUAUGAAGCGUGAUUGACGGUAACUGGUAAAGAAGCACCGGCUAACUACGUG
Molecule: ribosomal RNA, 468 nt
Filed under: uncultured bacterium
Lineage: Bacteria
Description: partial 16S ribosomal RNA
Rfam family: Bacterial small subunit ribosomal RNA
Source: RNAcentral